This is a long non-coding RNA of Nicotiana tabacum (common tobacco), 751 nucleotides long. RefSeq lists it as uncharacterized. NCBI's taxonomy places the organism in Eukaryota, Viridiplantae, Streptophyta, Magnoliopsida, Solanales, Solanaceae. The record is from RefSeq and is a predicted model, not a curated record.
CAUUCUUUCAUAACACACACACUGAUUUAUUUGAAAACACAUUGAAUUCUCUGCAUUCUCAAUAGAAAACUCUUGCAUUUUCCUUUUCAAUUCCUGCAUUAAUAGUAGAAAAAACACACAUAGAAUUCCUAAGAUAUCUCAAGUUUGAAGUUUGAUUCUGGAGCUGUUCUUUGUUAUUAUUUGUUUGCUGCUGCUGUUUUUGGAUUGCUGAGCUUUGCCCUUCUGGUUUUCUGACCUUUAUUUGGUCUUGUUAAGUGCUGUUUUCUGCAUCUAGUGACCAUUGAGCAUUGUUUGAGUUAAGGACAUGGAAUCAGCCCACAGCAACCCAUGUGUAAAUCAGAGUAAGUCAUGAUUGCAUCAGGAACAUGUAAGGUGAGAAUCUGGCAAAUGGAGUAAGAUCCAGGAGAUUGAUUCUAUGGGAGAGGGCUCAGCUGAAAUAGAACCAGCUCUAAUAAAGUUUUAGACAAUUUCAUUUAGUUUUUUUUUUGUCUUGUUAGGAAAAUUUGAUUAAUGGACAGUUUGUUGUAACCUUAAGCUCCAUUGUAUUGAGUUUUGGAAAUAUGUGUUUAGAUAUAUUAAGUGAUAAUUACAGUGGUUGUCACGGUUUAUUUUAAUUCAUUAAUGGCAUGUAGAUUAAUAUUAGGGAAAAACUUUGUAAAUCCUACUACAUUUAGCAUCGUGUGAAAUUCUUGCGAACUCUUUAGUACUUGUAAUUAAUUAAACUGUUAACUAGUAGUUUUUUUUUUCCUAA